Molecule: ribosomal RNA, 406 nt
Filed under: uncultured bacterium
Lineage: Bacteria
Description: partial 16S ribosomal RNA
Rfam family: Bacterial small subunit ribosomal RNA
Source: RNAcentral
AUUGAACGCUGGCGGCAGGCCUAACACAUGCAAGUCGAGCGAGAGGCGGGCGGGUGAGUAAUGUCUGGGAAACUGCCUGAUGGAGGGGGAUAACUACUGGAAACGGUAGCUAAUACCGCAUACAAUCAGAUGUGCCCAGAUGGGAUUAGCUAGUGGGGGGGGUAACGUCUCACCUAGGCGACGAUCCCUAGCUGGUCUGAGAGGAUGACCAGCCACACUGGAACUGAGACACGGUCCAGACGCCUACGGGAGGAAGCAGUGGGGAAUAUUGCACAAUGGGCGCAAUCCUGAGGCAGCGAUGCCGCGUGUAGGAAGAAGGCCUUCGGGUUGUAAAGGACUUUCAGCGGGGAGGCGUGACCCGCAGAAGAAGCACCGGCUAACUCCGUGCCAGCAGCGGCGGUAAUUC